AGCUCCAAUAGCGUAUAUUAAAAUUGUUGCGGUUAGAACGCUCGUAGUCGAAUGUCUGUUCACACGGAGCGGUCCUCCCAAGUGGUGCGUACACAGCUCUGUCUGAACACUUCUCUGACGUGAGCGUUGGCAGUUUGAUCUGUUGCGCAUUACCCAGAUCGUUUACUUUGAGGAAAUGAGAGUGCUUCAAGCAGAUAAACGUUAUGAAUACGUUAGCAUGGAAUAAUUACAUGGGACACGUAUUUGAUUUUGUGGGCUUUCAAAUAGGUGUAAUGACAGUUGGGAUAGUUGGGGGCACUCGUAUUUAACUGCUAGAGGUGAAAUUCUUGGAUUUUUUAAAGAUGGACUACUGCGAAAGCAUUUGCCAAAGAUGUUUUUG
This 379-nucleotide ribosomal RNA is filed under the name uncultured eukaryote. Its description in RNAcentral is "SSU rRNA". It matches the Rfam family "Eukaryotic small subunit ribosomal RNA", at positions 587 to 972 of the family's 1831-position model. The record is from RNAcentral.